AAAUUUCAUAUCACAGAUGCCCAAGACAGUGGUGAAGAAUUUUUUUCCUUUCCAACUUUUUAGGAGGUUCCUGUGCAGAUUUGUCACAUGGGUAAAAUGCGUGUUGCGGGGGUCUGGUGUGCGGAUUCUUCGGUCACCCAGGUGCAGAGAAUGAGGAUCAGAAAUGUUGAAGAGUUUGCCCAGAGAUCCAGCCAGCAAAUAGCCAGCUUCAGGGCUGAUAGGACCGUCAUUGUCCCUGACCAUGACCCGUCACAUGGCCAGCUCCAGAUGGAUUGGAAGGUCUGCGGGAACUAGCUUUGGCCUAGGCCAAGAUCAUCCGACCAGACCUUCUCCUGCUUCCUAUUUAGGAGAACACAGACCCCAGGUGUCCCACUGCAGAGUCCCAGUGUAUGAAGGUCAACCCAGUGUGAGACCUCCAGCAUAUAAAAUAUGGAUGGAAAUCACAGCUUCAGAAGAGCGGUGAAGGAUACAAUGAAAGGAAAUGGGAUUAAAAAGAAAACUAACAAAAGGGACCUUAAUUCUAUAUGGCAGAUUUUCUUUUUUGAGAUGGAGUCUUACUCUGCUCCCAGGCUGGAGUACAGUGGCGCCAUCUAGGCUGACUGCCAGCUCCGCCUCCUGCGUUCAAGCAAUUCUCCUGCCUCAGCCUCCCAGGUAGCUGGAACUACAGGUGCCUGCCACCACAUCCAGAUCAUGUUUGGAUUUUUAAUAGAGACGGGGUCUUGCCAUGUUAGCCAGGCUGGUCUCGAACUCCUGACCUCAAGUGAUCUGCCUGCCUCAGCCUCUCAAAAGCACUGGAAUUACAGAUAUGAGCCACCAUGCCUGCCCUGGCAAGUUUUAUUUCUUAAGAAAAACAGAUAUGAAGUAAAUAUGGCUGUUAAUAUUCAUUACACC
Molecule: long non-coding RNA, 891 nt
Filed under: Pan troglodytes (chimpanzee)
Lineage: Eukaryota; Metazoa; Chordata; Mammalia; Primates; Hominidae
Description: long non-coding RNA NONPTRT016981
Source: RNAcentral